AUUGAACGCUGGCGGCGUGGCUAAAGCAUGCAAGUCGUACGGGGCCGCAAGGCCCAGUGGCGGACGGGUUAGUAAUACGAUCGAACGUAGCCUGAGGUGGAGGAUAGCGGCGGGAAACCGCCGGUAAUACUCCAUGAUCUCUCCGGAGCAAAGGGCAACCGCCUUUGGAUCGGCGAUCGUCCUAUCAGCUAGUUGGCGGGGUAGCGGCCCACCAAGGCGAUGACGGGUAGCAGGUGUGAGAGCACGACCUGCAACAUCGGGACUGAGACACUGCCCGGACUCCUACGGGAGGCUGCAGCGACGAAUCUUCCGCAAUGGGCGCAAGCCUGACGGAGCGACGCCGCGUGUGGGAUGAAGCGUCUUCGACGUGUAAACCACUGUCAGAGGACAGAAACACUGAUUGUCCUCAGAGGAAAGGGGCGACUAACUCUGUGCCAGCAGUCGCGGUAAGACAGAGGCCCCGAGCGUAAUCGAUACUGGCUAAGGGU
RNAcentral lists this ribosomal RNA (488 nucleotides) under uncultured bacterium. RNAcentral describes it as "bacterial SSU rRNA". It matches the Rfam family "Bacterial small subunit ribosomal RNA", at positions 28 to 546 of the family's 1533-position model. The record is from RNAcentral.